Molecule: ribosomal RNA, 158 nt
Filed under: Filobasidium wieringae
Lineage: Eukaryota; Fungi; Basidiomycota; Tremellomycetes; Filobasidiales; Filobasidiaceae
Description: 5.8S ribosomal RNA
Rfam family: 5.8S ribosomal RNA
About the family: 5.8S ribosomal RNA (5.8S rRNA) is a component of the large subunit of the eukaryotic ribosome. It is transcribed by RNA polymerase I as part of the 45S precursor that also contains 18S and 28S rRNA.
Source: RNAcentral
AAACUUUUAACAACGGAUCUCUUGGCUCUCGCAUCGAUGAAGAACGCAGCGAAAUGCGAUAAGUAAUGUGAAUUGCAGAAUUCAGUGAAUCAUCGAAUCUUUGAACGCACCUUGCGCUCCUUGGUAUUCCGAGGAGCAUGCCUGUUUGAGUGUCAUAA